Molecule: non-coding RNA, 564 nt
Organism: Camelina sativa (false flax)
Lineage: Eukaryota; Viridiplantae; Streptophyta; Magnoliopsida; Brassicales; Brassicaceae
Source: RefSeq, a predicted model, not a curated record
GGCUGUGGGAAAACUGUUAUUAGUCAUGCACUUUCCAAGGUAGCAUGUGACACUCUGGUUUUGUUCCACUUAAUUACUGGAUAUUUUGAAUUUCCUAAGCUACGGUUUCUCAUUAGUUAGGUUCUUAAUUAUGGACUUCCCACAAUUGAAAAAUGACGUUGCUUGAUGGUUGUGAGGACUCUGUCAUGAAACGUACCACACUUGUUGCCAACACCUCUAACAUGGCUGUGGCUGCUCGUGAAGCCUUAAUUUACACAGGAUUCACAAUCGCUGAAUAUUUUAGAGAUAUGGGAUACACUGUUAGUAUGAUGGCAAACUCAACUUCCCGUUGGGCAGAGAUAAAUUUAAGGACGACUGGUAAUCAAAGCGUCCGGAUUUGUUAGGUGUUGGAAUGUCCGGAGAAUAAGAGCACCCUAGCAUCUCCAUCUCAGCUUCAGCCCAAACCCUGUGAACGGAUCUGGAAAUGUCCACGAUGUCUCGAUUGAGGUCUUCUGGGGUUUGUACAAAAUGCUUUCCCAGAGAAAACGUUUUACCUCUGUUAAUUGUUUGAUUUCCUGAUCAAAG